Molecule: ribosomal RNA, 402 nt
Filed under: uncultured bacterium
Lineage: Bacteria
Description: bacterial SSU rRNA
Rfam family: Bacterial small subunit ribosomal RNA
Source: RNAcentral
UUUUGGACAAUGGGGGCAACCCUGAUCCAGCAAUGCCGCGUGAGUGAAGAAGGCCUUCGGGUUGUAAAGCUCUUUUGUCAGGGAAGAAACACCGGCUCUAACACAGUCCGGGAAUGACGGUACCUGAAGAAUAAGCACCGGCUAACUACGUGCCAGCAGCCGCGGUAAUACGUAGGGUGCAAGCGUUAAUCGGAAUUACUGGGCGUAAAGCGUGCGCAGGCGGUUAUACAAGACAGGCGUGAAAUCCCCGGGCUUAACCUGGGAAUGGCGCCUGUGACUGUAUAGCUAGAGUACGGUAGAGGGGGAUGGAAUUCCGCGUGUAGCAGUGAAAUGCGUAGAUAUGCGGAGGAACACCGAUGGCGAAGGCAAUCCCCUGGACCUGUACUGACGCUCAUGCACGAA